AUAAAUAUCCGCAGCUUACCCAUCAUCUCUUGCACCACUCCUUCAGUAACAAUGGCCAUCGAUAUGACCAUCGUCCUCAUUGUUUUCUCUUUCAUUAUCUCCAUUUACUUCAUAUUUAUCAGAAAAUCCAACAGUUCGAAGGCUCUAAACCUGCCACCAGGCCCACCAACGCUACCCAUCAUCGGAAACCUCCACCANUAUAUAUAUAUAAUGCGGAGCUUACCCGUCUUCUCUUGCACCACUCCUUGAGUAACAAUGGUCAUCGAUAUGACCAUCGUCCUCAUUGCUUUCUCUUUCAUUAUCUCCGUUUACUUCAUAUUCAUCAGAAAACCCAAGGGUUCGAAAGCUCUAAACCUGCCACCAGGCCCACCAACACUACCCAUCAUCGGAAACCUCCAUCAGAUUGGUCUAGAACUGCCACAUCGAGCUUUCCGCAACUUGUCCAAGAAAUAUGGCCCCAUCAUGAGCCUGCAACUCGGCCAGAUCUCCAUGAUCGUCGUCUCUUCCCCAAAGUUAGCUGAAGAAGUGCUAAAAACCAAC
RNAcentral lists this long non-coding RNA (540 nucleotides) under Lactuca sativa (garden lettuce). RNAcentral's name for it is "long non-coding RNA (LSAT_LNC007137)". Lineage: Eukaryota; Viridiplantae; Streptophyta; Magnoliopsida; Asterales; Asteraceae. The record is from RNAcentral.